UGCAGUCGAACGAACUCUGGUAUUGAUUGGUGCUUCUCAUCAUGAUUUACAUUUGAGUGAGUGGCGAACUGGUGAGUAACACGUGGGAAACCUGCCCAGAAGCGGGGGAUAACACCUGGAAACAGAUGCUAAUACCGCAUAACAACUUGGACCGCAUGGUCCGAGCUUGAAAGAUGGCUUCGGCUAUCACUUUUGGAUGGUCCCGCGGCGUAUUAGCUAGAUGGUGGGGUAACGGCUCACCAUGGCAAUGAUACGUAGCCGACCUGAGAGGGUAAUCGGCCACAUUGGGACUGAGACACGGCCCAAACUCCUACGGGAGGCAGCAGUAGGGAAUCUUCCACAAUGGACGAAAGUCUGAUGGAGCAACGCCGCGUGAGUGAAGAAGGGUUUCGGCUCGUAAAACUCUGUUGUUAAAGAAGAACAUAUCUGAGAGUAACUGUUCAGGUAUUGACGGUAUUUAACCAGAAAGCCACGGCUAACUACGUGCCAGCAGCCGCGGUAAUACGUAGGUGGCAAGCGUUGUCCGGAUUUAUUGGGCGUAAAGCGAGCGCAGGCGGUUUUUUAAGUCUGAUGUGAAAGCCUUCGGCUCAACCGAAGAAGUGCAUCGGAAACUGGGAAACUUGAGUGCAGAAGAGGACAGUGGAACUCCAUGUGUAGCGGUGAAAUGCGUAGAUAUAUGGAAGAACACCAGUGGCGAAGGCGGCUGUCUGGUCUGUAACUGACGCUGAGGCUCGAAAGUAUGGGUAGCAAA
RNAcentral lists this ribosomal RNA (751 nucleotides) under Lactiplantibacillus plantarum. RNAcentral's name for it is "bacterial SSU rRNA". It matches the Rfam family "Bacterial small subunit ribosomal RNA", at positions 56 to 772 of the family's 1533-position model. Lineage: Bacteria; Bacillati; Bacillota; Bacilli; Lactobacillales; Lactobacillaceae. The record is from RNAcentral.